RNAcentral lists this ribosomal RNA (468 nucleotides) under uncultured bacterium. RNAcentral's name for it is "partial 16S ribosomal RNA". It matches the Rfam family "Bacterial small subunit ribosomal RNA", at positions 28 to 507 of the family's 1533-position model. The record is from RNAcentral.
GACGAACGCUGGCGGCGUGCUUAACACAUGCAAGUCGAACGGAAAGGCCCUGCUUUUGUGGGGUGCUCGAGUGGCGAACGGGUGAGUAACACGUGAGUAACCUGCCCUUGACUUUGGGAUAACUUCAGGAAACUGGGGCUAAUACCGGAUAGGAGCUCCUGCUGCAUGGUGGGGGUUGGAAAGUUUCGGCGGUUGGGGAUGGACUCGCGGCUUAUCAGCUUGUUGGUGGGGUAGUGGCUUACCAAGGCUUUGACGGGUAGCCGGCCUGAGAGGGUGACCGGCCACAUUGGGACUGGGAUACGGCCCAGACUACUACGGGAGGCAGCAGUGGAGAAUAUUGCACAAUGGGCGGAAGCCUGAUGCAGCAACGCCGCGUGCGGGAUGACGGCCUUCGGGUUGUAAACCGCUUUCGCCUGUGACGAAGCGUGAGUGACGGUAAUGGGUAAAGAAGCACCGGCUAACUACGUG